GAGGAGGAAGGAGAGGAAGAGGGAAGGGGGAGGGGCUUCCCGAGGGGGAAGGGGAGGGGAAGGGGAGGGGGUCACACUCUCUCAGCCCCCUCCCACCUUUCCAAACAAGGCAAGCAAAGACCCGACAAUAGAGCACAAGAGUUACGAGUUGGGUCGAUACAGGGAAUGCUGUGGAUGUAGCCUACCUGGAUUUCAGUAAGGCCUUCGACAAAGUCCCCCACGACCUUCUGGAAAACAAACUAGUAAAAUGUGGGCUAGACAAAACUACGGUUAGGUGGAUCUGUAAUUGGCUAAGCGAACGAACCCAAAGGGUGCUCACCAAUGCGUCGUCUUCAUCAUGGAAAGAAGUGACAAGUGGAGUGCCAUCAGCAGGGCUCCGUCCUGGGCCCGGUUCUGUUCAACAUCUUUAUUAACGACUUAGACGAAGGGUUAGAAGGCACGAUCAUCAAGUUUGCAGACGACACCAAACUGGGAGGGAUAGCUAACACUCCAGAAGACAGGAGCAGAAUUCAAAACGAUCUUGACAGACUAGAGAGAUGGGCCAAAACUCACAAAAUGAAGUUCAACAGGGACAAAUGCAAGAUACUUCAUUUCGGCAGAAAAAAUGGAAAUCAAAGAUACAGAAUGGGGGACGAGGCCUGGCUUGACAGCAGUGUGUGCGAAAAAGACCUUGGAGUCCUUGUGGACAACAAGUUAAACAUGAGCCAACAAUGUGAUGCGGCUGCUAAAAAAGCCAAUGGGAUUCUGUCCUGCAUCAAUAGGGGAAUAACGUCUAGAUCCAGGGAAGUCCUGCUCCCCCUUAUUCUAUUCUGCCUUGGUCAGACCACACCUGGAAUCACACUGUGUCCAAUUUUGGGCACCGCAGUUGAAGGGAGAUGUUGACAAGCUGGAAAGCGUCCAGAGGAGGGCGACUAAAAUGAUGAAGGGUCUGGAGAACAAGCCCUAUGAGGAGCGGCUUAAAGAGCUGGGCAUGUUUAGCCUGCAGAAGAGAAGGCUGAGAGGAGACAUGAGAGCCAUGUACAAAUAUGUGAAGGGAAGUCCUAGGGAAGAGGGAGCAAGCUUGUUUUCUGCUGCCCUGGAGACUAGGACACGGAACAAUGGCUUCAAACUACAGGAAAGGAGAUUCCACCUGAACAUCAGGAAGAACUUCCUCACUGUGAGAAGGGCUGUUCGACAGUGGAACUCUCUCCCCCGGGCCGUGGUGGAGGCUCCUUCCUUGGAGGCUUUUAAGCAGAGGCUGGAUGGCCAUCUGUCGGGGGUGCUUUGAAUGCAAUUUCCUGCUUCUUAGCAGGGGGUUGGACUAGAUGGCCCAUGUGGUCUCUUCCAACUCUACUAUUCUAUGAUUCUAUGAUUCUGUGUACAAAGUUUGGCCCCAAUCCAUCGGUGUUUGGGUUCACAGUGCUCAUCGAGUGCAGGUGAACUAUAAAUCCCAGUACCUAUAACUCCAAAACAUCCAGGGCCAAUUCCACUCAAAACCCACCAGUAUUCAGUAUCAACACUGAAAACAAUAUAGUUCACAAAUUAAAACCUAACAAUAUCAAGAAAUAAACCCAGAAUAUUUUAAAAAAUAACCUUAACCACUAUGAAAAACUACUACAUUCAUAAAAACAUUAAAAUAAUUCUUUAAAAGCAAAUGAAGAUUCAAUCUGAACGAGCAGAAGAUUAACCUCUUCUGGGCAUCCAAUUUCCAAGCAACAGUCUAUUGAAAGCAAAGAAUCUGUGACACAGCCAACAGAAAGGCUAUCAUUCCUUUUAUUUUUGAAUGAUGGCCUUAAUUACGAAGGUGACUGAGGCUGAUCUAUAAUGGUUUUGUAUAUAUAGAUCACCCUCUUUUUAAGGAUUGGAGAAUGGGAAACGCAAAGGCAAAGAUGGAAGUCCUUUUUUUUUUUUUCUUCCUCUCCUUUCUUUUUUUUGGAGGGGGGGUAUUUUUGAUGGUUUUCUUUUUCUUUCUUUCUUUUUUUAUUAACAGUCUUUAAUCUUCUUCUCUACUACCUUAAUCUUAAUUUCUGCACUUUCUAUAUCAAAAAAUGUUCUCACUCUUUCGAUGUAUUAAACUAAUCUUCAAUAAAUAUAUAUAUUAAAAAAUAUAUAUAAUUCUUUAAAA
This is a long non-coding RNA of Anolis carolinensis (green anole), 2104 nucleotides long. RefSeq lists it as uncharacterized. The transcript is spliced from 2 exons. The record is from RefSeq and is a predicted model, not a curated record. Lineage: Eukaryota; Metazoa; Chordata; Lepidosauria; Squamata; Anolidae.